Piliocolobus tephrosceles (Ugandan red Colobus) is the source of this 2168-nucleotide RNA transcript. RefSeq lists it as uncharacterized. The transcript has 2 exons. NCBI's taxonomy places the organism in Eukaryota, Metazoa, Chordata, Mammalia, Primates, Cercopithecidae. The record is from RefSeq and is a predicted model, not a curated record.
AUGACGAACAAUGAACUAAAGCCAAACGCAGCCCUCCCUGGUCUCCAGAGGUGUCCUGGGCUGGCUUUGCACGGAGGUUGUGCUGGGAGACUGGACCCGGGGCUGCAGAAGAAGCUGAAGGCUGACUUUGUCCCCUCCCCCAAAAAGGGUGUUUUGAUGCCCCAGGAAGGCUCUGCCAAGCACCAAGAGGUCUCUGAGCUCUUGUCAGCUGCUUUUGAACCUGAGGUUCCUGUGUCGUUGAGCCAGAAAUCAGACCACCGAAGCUACUCCCUUCCUCUCCAUCUCGCCCUGUCUCCGAGACUCUGGCGGUGGCCUGUGAGCCUGAAGACAGCUCUGCAGCCAACCGGUGCUUCGGCCUUUGCGCUGUCCCGGGGCCAGCUUCCCUCGGCCUGGGGAGGCCAUGGCCUGUGAAGGAGGCCCAGGUAAAGGCUGGCAGCUGUUGCUGGCUCUCCUCUCUGCUUCUGGAAGCUUCCGCCUCACUCAGAAUGGGCAGGACAGACCCACUGACUGGACUGCAGAGUCUGGAGGGUUCCAUUGGUCAGGGGAAAGGUGGGCACGUGGCCUCUUGCUGUGCUCCUUGUCACAGACCCGAAGAGCAACUCUGUCCCCUGAGCACUGGGGGUCCUGGGGAAGAGGUGGACAGACAGCUCCCUCCAACUGGCAUUUGGCAACAGGAGCCUGGACUUCUGUGCAAGAAAGGGAGACCCAAGGGUGAACAGUGGCAAAAAAAAAAAAAUCCUAGAGAACAAACAUCCAAUUCCUAGGUGGUUACAAAUCAUGACUUCCUGCAAAUCAACGCCAGGAGAGCAACUUACAUUCAUUUUUUUGUCUUAUUAAAAAGUAGCAGCAACUGGCCCCACAACUCCUGUCAAUGUAAUUUAUUCCACCACCACCUAACAGGAUGGAGUGGAGGGAGUUUGGAUAAAUGGGCUGAGCUGGGCUUCUCUUCCUCCCUACAGAGGGGAGAUCUCAGCACUUUGUCCGGAGCUGAGGAAGUGGGUUCUGUGUUUUACAGUUUUUCCAGCCAUUCUUUUUUCUCCCCCUCCUGAAGCAAGCAAAGAGCGUGGAAGCGUGUACUGGCUUGGAAGAAGAACUCUCUAGAACAUGGAACUUAACCCUCUUUUAUAUAAAACAUGUGCUUUCUAAAGAAAAAUUGUUUCUUACUUUUUGAGACUCCUUGAUCCACCCUGGAACAGUCGCCUGUAGUCCUGGUAGCUGUCGUGCUUGGAAAUAACGAGCGCAUCCUUACCUCAGCUACCUGCUCACGGCCCAUGGGUGGACUCGGCCCCUGGGCUUCAGACCCAGGUCCAUUUGGCCUGGUGAUGAUGUCAUCGUCUAUCCCACCUUCCUUUGCCCCCAGGAAAGGACGCAUCCACCCGUAGCGGCCCCAGCUGACUGCUGUGGUGUGCCGGGGAGCUGAAAUGAGGCCUGCCAGGGCCCCUGUGUGCUGUGCUCCGGAGCCUUCGCUCCCGUCGGGGCUGACAUCGUCUGGUGGCGUGUCCAAGUGUGCCUAGCAGCAGACGCUGAAGCACCAGAGCUCAAGGCCUUCACCUGCUCUAGGCCAGCCCCGUCCCCACACCCCACCACCUCCACUGCCAUGACCAGGCUGAAGACAGGGAACGCCCUCCCCAGACCCGCCGUCCAGCAAGGCCCCGAGACUUUUCUUCUGUGAUCUCCAAAAGCAAGGCAGCCGCGCUGUUCUGUUUCCUCUCCAUCUGCCACCUCCCCUCCCACUGCCCCAGAAGUUUCUAUCAUUCCAUGGAGAAAGCUGUGUUCCAAUGAAUCCUACCUCUUGCCCAGUCCCAGGCAGAGUAAGCAGGGCCCACCUAGGGACCAAGAAAGAGUAGGAAGAAGGGGACGAGCCGGGAGCAAAACCACCUCAGACACCCGGAACUUCUCAGCCUUCUCCCCGCAGCCAGCCGGGUCUCCAGGGACCCUGGGCCCUGGGCCGCCCAUUCCUGGCCCUCCCGCUGCAUCUCAGACCUGACGCCCGUCCGGGGGGAUGUGGUGGCCUGUACCCGCCUUCUCUCCCUCCUCCCGACCCACCCCCUCACCCCCACCCCUGUGUGUUUCGCCAGUUAAGCACCUGUGACUCCAGUACCUACUACUGGUUUUUGGUUGGUUGUUCUGUCUUUUUUUUAAUUAAAUAAAAACAUUUUUAAAAUGUU